UGAGAGAGAGAGAGAGAGAGAGAGAGAGAGAGAGAGGGAGGAAGGGAGGGAGACAGACAGACGGAGGUAGAUGGCCAUGGAAAGAGAGCGAGGGGGAGGGGUAGGGGUGAUGGAAUUCACAAGUGGGAGAGUGGGGAUGGUCAGAGAAAACCAUAGAAGUUUUUUUUUAGGGAGAAUUUGUGUUUGGUUGUCGGAUUUAAUUUGGUUUUUGCUUUCAGGAAAAACUGGGGUUCGAAUUUUGGGGUUUAUGAUGUGGGUUUGGUUUCUUUUUCGUGGAAUUUGUUGUAUUUGUACCCUUUGGAUUUAGGUUUCAUCAGAUGGCGUUUGUAGUGUUUAUAUUGAACUGUCGACUCUUUUAUUCUUUGUAGGUGAAAUUGAAGGUCAGCAAUCUCUUAAAUUGAUGAGGGGGCUACAAUUCGUGCAAGGAAAAAGCCAGAGAUAUGCUACUAUUUGAGAACAGAUAAAGAGAUGGUAUCCUUCCCGUCUCGUCUGGAAAUGCAUUGAGUACAAGAAGACUUAUCGAGUGAAGACAGCAGCAAGGAAAUUUGAGCCUUGGCCUGUAGAGAUACGAUUUUGCAAGGAAGCUAGGAAUUUAGAUCGUCGGAGGGAGAAGUUGGUCCCUUGGCAUUUUGAGGUGCAUAGUUAUAUGCCCUUGGCAUUUUAAUGCAAUUGAAAAUGCAUUACGGAAUCAGAACCCGCAACAGCGCGCGGUCAAUUUUCUAGUUAUAACCUAAAUAAGCCAUUUUCUCAAAUUCAAAACCAAAUGUAAGUUUCAAUAUAAUACAGAAGUUAUAGUGGAGCACCAAUGUAACACGAAAUAUAAAAUUUUCCUUCGACAAUGCAAUAUAUGACACAUAUACUUGGCCAACUGCCCUCUUGGCUAGAAGUGAACCAUUUGCGGAAUCUGUGGUCUGAUACAGGCUGGGAAACUUAGCAACAAAUGCUUGUAGGGUUUCUCUAUGGCAUUAUGAAAUUAUCAAUUUUCAUCUCAUCGUUAUGUCAUCAAUCUUCAA
Molecule: long non-coding RNA, 1013 nt
Organism: Pyrus x bretschneideri (Chinese white pear)
Lineage: Eukaryota; Viridiplantae; Streptophyta; Magnoliopsida; Rosales; Rosaceae
Exons: 3
Source: RefSeq, a predicted model, not a curated record